Molecule: ribosomal RNA, 637 nt
Filed under: uncultured bacterium
Lineage: Bacteria
Description: bacterial SSU rRNA
Rfam family: Bacterial small subunit ribosomal RNA
Source: RNAcentral
AGAGUUUGAUCAUGGCUCAGGACGAACGCUGGCGGCAUGCCUAAUACAUGCAAGUCGAACGGAAAGGCCACCUUCGGGUGGCACUCGAGUGGCGAACGGGUGAGUAACACGUGGGUAACCUGCCUUUGACUGGGGGACAACCGGGGGAAACUCCGGCUAAUACCGCAUGAUGUGCAGUGUCACGAGGCGCUGUACCAAAGAUAGCUUCGGCUUUCGGUCAAAGAUGGGCCCGCGGCAGAUUAGCUUGUUGGUGGGGUAACGGCCUACCAAGGCGACGAUCUGUACUGGUCUGAGAGGACGAUCAGCCACACUGGAACUGAGACACGGUCCAGACUCCUACGGGAGGCAGCAGUAGGGAAUCUUGCGCAAUGGGCGAAAGCCUGACGCAGCAUGCCGCGUGAGGGAAGACGGCCUUAGGGUUGUAAACCUCUUUCAGAUGGGACGAAGCUUCUGGGGUUAAUAGCCUCAUGGAGUGACGGUACCUUCAGAAGAAGCCCCGGCUAACUACGUGCCAGCAGCCGCGGUAAUACGUAGGGGGCACGUGUCCGGAAUCAUUGGGCGUAAAGAGCGUGUAGGCGGCCCGAAAGUCUGGUGUGAAACUUGAGGCUCACCUCAAGCUGUCACUGGAUACUGUCAG